Molecule: unclassified non-coding RNA, 357 nt
Filed under: uncultured fungus
Lineage: Eukaryota; Fungi
Description: sequence contains ITS1
Rfam family: 5.8S ribosomal RNA (bases 1-105)
Source: RNAcentral
GAAAUGCGAUAAGUAAUGUGAAUUGCAGAAUUCAGUGAAUCAUCGAAUCUUUGAACGCAUCUUGCGCUCCUUGGCAUUCCGAGGAGCAUGCCUGUUUGAGUGUCGUUGCACUUCUCAAACCCCCAACCUUCCGCAGAGCAGGUUGUGGAUUUGGAUCGGUGGAGGAUGCAUUUGCUGCCCCCCAGGACCCUGGGGCGUCAUGCUUCUCUGAAAUGCAUCAUCAGCAUUAUGGCUGCGGUCACGAACCCCGUUGCCGGUAUGAUAUGAUCCAUCUUACCUGCUUCUAACCUCGUGCCAGCCAGAGGAAUCGCCUCACUAUCUGACCUCAAAUCAGGCAGGACUACCCGCUGAACUUAA